RNAcentral lists this ribosomal RNA (1434 nucleotides) under Triticum aestivum (bread wheat). RNAcentral describes it as "partial small subunit ribosomal RNA". Lineage: Eukaryota; Viridiplantae; Streptophyta; Magnoliopsida; Poales; Poaceae. The record is from RNAcentral.
AUGGACCAGUUCCUCGUCGCGGCGCCGCCUUCCGCCGACGAGGGCCCCGAAGCGCCACGACCGCCGCCUCGGAGGUGGCACCGGUGGAGCCGUAUCGCCGUGGAGCUGGACGGCCACAUCGACGCCAGGUUUCGACAUCGGGAAUCCCGCCGUCUCCUCGAUUCCCUUGCCGAGAUUAGGACCUUCGAACACAAGUACUACACGCAUGGCGAGGAACGGUGCACGACAUAUGUGAAUCGCAUGAUUAAUGCUUCAACAUUUGCUGGGUGUUACCAUUCAGCUAGGGAGGGGGUUUCGGCAAUGGAAUUCGAUAAAAAGGGAAUAUACCUCGCAUCAGUGACAAACUCAGGAUGUUUAACAGUGCAUGACUUUGAGACCUUAUACUGCUCCUUGUAUGGCCCAUUAUGUCGUAUACCAGAUGACUCAUCAAACUAUGUGCUCCAUAUAUCAAACUCAAUGCCUCUAUGUGCUGUCCGAUGGAAUCCAGGAAAUCAAGACGAGAUUGUUUGCUCAUCUAGCCAAACUGACAAAGUUUUACUGUUUGACAUUGGGUACGUCUCAUCUGCUCCGACUGAAGUUUUACAGAAAGGGAUGACCAAAUUUCAUGGUUUCUGCUCGGAAUCCCGGAAGGGUUUGACUGAUCUAGCUUUUACUCCAGACGACAAGUCACGGCUAUUUGCUUCUGGACUUGAUGGUGCAGUCUACAUGUGGGACAGGCGGCUAAGUAAGACACACUGUGUUGAGCUUACAGCACUCCUAGAAUCUCAGUUUACCAGUGUCAAGCUAAAUAUGGAUAAUCGGACAGUGUUUGGUGCAACUAGAAAUGGGACCAUUCAUGUUUGGGAUACACGUGGAGGGAGGGCAUCAGCUGCUUUUCAAAGUCAUAAUGAGGUUCAACCUUUGUCAUCAGUGAAGAUAUCAACGUUGUUGGGAAAAAUUGCAUCGCUGAAGGAACAAUCAAACAUUGUUUCAAGUGAAAUUCUGUCGAUAGACUUUAACCCUAGUUGCUCAUAUCAGUUAGCCUUCCAUCUUGAUGAUGGGUGGUCUGGAGUCCUGAAUGUCAACACUUUCAGUGUUAGUCAUCUGCACUGCCCUCCUCCUGCUUGGUUGGAGGGCGUGGACUCUGUGUUGCAUAAGCGGAAAGCCACCUGGCUGUCGACAUCUUCAAUUUAUGCAGUCGGAUCUUCCUCCAAUAAUGGAAUAUAUGCACUGGAUUUUCAUCCAGAUACAAGCUCCACAUGCCAUGUGGACUACAAUGAGGAAACAAAAGGCUCCGAGGAAAAUCAACCUGCAGAAAACAAGUUUAUUCCCUUAUCCGAAAGGGUGCUUUCCUGUGCAGCCCAUCCACUCAGUCAUGACAUAAUUUGUGGUACCGAGUUCUCGUCGUUGCUCAUGGUAUCACAAAAGUAUGAGACCGUCAGAGAUCCAGAGUAG